AACUAUCAAGCCAGGAUGCUUUAUUGCUUCCUGGCCUUGGUUUAUUGGGCUUUGCCGUGCCCUUCAUUGGGAACGGCUGGCCUUAAAAGCAUUAGCUGACUCCAUGUGGUUAUUGGUAUUCUACUUGGCGUGAUAAUAAUCUGACCGCUGAGGAAGUGUCCUUUCGGGGAUGGCCAAUUUUCGUGUGGGGUUGCUUCUAAUCUCUGGAGCUCCUGUUCCAUUUUCAA
This 227-nucleotide unclassified non-coding RNA is filed under the name uncultured Clavulina. RNAcentral describes it as "sequence contains ITS2". The record is from RNAcentral. Lineage: Eukaryota; Fungi; Basidiomycota; Agaricomycetes; Cantharellales; Hydnaceae.